Molecule: ribosomal RNA, 485 nt
Filed under: Streptococcus mitis
Lineage: Bacteria; Bacillati; Bacillota; Bacilli; Lactobacillales; Streptococcaceae
Description: bacterial SSU rRNA
Rfam family: Bacterial small subunit ribosomal RNA
Source: RNAcentral
GACGAACGCUGGCGGCGUGCCUAAUACAUGCAAGUAGAACGCUGAAGGAGGAGCUUGCUUCUCCGGAUGAGUUGCGAACGGGUGAGUAACGCGUAGGUAACCUGCCUGGUAGCGGGGGAUAACUAUUGGAAACGAUAGCUAAUACCGCAUAAGAGUAGAUGUUGCAUGACAUUUGCUUAAAAGGUGCAAUUGCAUCACUACCAGAUGGACCUGCGUUGUAUUAGCUAGUUGGUGGGGUAACGGCUCACCAAGGCGACGAUACAUAGCCGACCUGAGAGGGUGAUCGGCCACACUGGGACUGAGACACGGCCCAGACUCCUACGGGAGGCAGCAGUAGGGAAUCUUCGGCAAUGGACGGAAGUCUGACCGAGCAACGCCGCGUGAGUGAAGAAGGUUUUCGGAUCGUAAAGCUCUGUUGUAAGAGAAGAACGAGUGUGAGAGUGGAAAGUUCACACUGUGACGGUAUCUUACCAGAAAGGCGGCUA